UACGGGGGGGGCAAGCGUUGUUCGGAAUUACUGGGCGUAAAGGGCUCGUAGGUGGCCAACUAAGUCAGACGUGAAAUCCCUCGGCUUAACCGGGGAACUGCGUCUGAUACUGGAUGGCUCGAGUUUGGGAGAGGGAUGCGGAAUUCCAGGUGUAGCGGUGAAAUGCGUAGAUAUGCGGAGGAACACCGAUGGCGAAGGCAAUCCCCUGGGCCUGUACUGACGCUCAUGCACGAAAGCGUGGGGAGCAAACAGG
Molecule: ribosomal RNA, 253 nt
Filed under: uncultured bacterium
Lineage: Bacteria
Description: partial 16S ribosomal RNA
Rfam family: Bacterial small subunit ribosomal RNA
Source: RNAcentral